RNAcentral lists this ribosomal RNA (446 nucleotides) under uncultured bacterium. RNAcentral's name for it is "partial 16S ribosomal RNA". It matches the Rfam family "Bacterial small subunit ribosomal RNA", at positions 338 to 795 of the family's 1533-position model. The record is from RNAcentral.
CCUACGGGGGGCAGCAGUCGAGAAUUAUUCACAAUGGGGGAAACCCUGAUGGUGCGACGCCGCGUGGGGGAAUGAAGGUCUUCGGAUUGUAAACCCCUGUCAUGUGGGAGCAAAUUAAAAAGAUAGUACCACAAGAGGAAGAGACGGCUAACUCUGUGCCAGCAGCCGCGGUAAUACAGAGGUCUCAAGCGUUGUUCGGAAUCACUGGGCGUAAAGCGUGCGUAGGCUGUUUCGUAAGUCGUGUGUGAAAGGCGCGGGCUCAACCCGCGGACGGCACAUGAUAUUGCGAGACUAGAGUAAGGGAGGGGGAACCGGAAUUCUCGGUGUAGCAGGGAAAUGCGUAGAUAUCGAGAGGAACACUCGUGGCGAAGGCGGGUUCCUGGACAUUAACUGACGCUGAGGCACGAAGGCCAGGGGAGCGAAAGGGAUUAGAUACCCUUGUAGUC